AUUGAACGCUGGCGGCAGGCCUAACACAUGCAAGUCGAGCGGAUGAAGGGAGCUUGCUCCUGGAUUCAGCGGCGGACGGGUGAGUAAUGCCCAGGAAUCUGCCUGGUAGUGGGGGAUAACGUCCGGAAACGGGCGCUAAUACCGCAUACGUCCUGAGGGGGAAAGUGGGGGAUCUUCGGACCUCACGCUAUCAGAUGAGCCUAGGUCGGAUUAGCUAGUUGGUGGGGUAAAGGCCUACCAAGGCGACGAUCCGUAACUGGUCUGAGAGGAUGAUCAGUCACACUGGAACUGAGACACGGUCCAGACUCCUACGGGAGGCAGCAGUGGGGAAUAUUGGACAAUGGGCGAAAGCCUGAUCCAGCCAUGCCGCGUGUGUGAAGAAGGUCUUCGGAUUGUAAAGCACUUUAAGUUGGGAGGAAGGGCAGUAAGUUAAUACCUUGCUGUUUUGACGUUACCAACAGAAUAAGCACCGGCUAACUUCGUG
This 484-nucleotide ribosomal RNA is filed under the name uncultured bacterium. RNAcentral's name for it is "partial 16S ribosomal RNA". It matches the Rfam family "Bacterial small subunit ribosomal RNA", at positions 30 to 507 of the family's 1533-position model. The record is from RNAcentral.